RNAcentral lists this ribosomal RNA (253 nucleotides) under uncultured bacterium. RNAcentral describes it as "partial 16S ribosomal RNA". It matches the Rfam family "Bacterial small subunit ribosomal RNA", at positions 524 to 776 of the family's 1533-position model. The record is from RNAcentral.
UACGUAGGAGGCGAGCGUUGUCCGGAGUUACUGGGCGUAAAGGGUGCGCAGGCGGCCGAUCGCGGUUUGCGGUGAAAGCUCCCGGCUUACCUGGGAGAGGGCCGUGAAGACGGGUUGGCUUGAGGCUCGGAGAGGGACGUGGAAUUCCGGGUGGAGCGGUGAAAUGCGUAGAGAUCCGGAAGAACACCGACGGCGAAGGCAGCGUCCUGGCCGAGGCCUGACGCUCAGGCACGAAAGCGCGGGAGCGAACAGG